UCUUCUGAACACAAGAGGACAGAAGCAUUUUACCUCUCCUUAAAAUGCUUCAGAGUCCUUGGCAAAAUAACACUUCAGUGAUUCCUGAGCUGGUAAAUUGGCUGCUGCAGCAGUUCCUGGCAAGGUCAGCACAGCAGUAUGUUGCAGGGCAUCCAGCAUAUAGGCUAUAAUAAUCUCUGCCAUGAUGCCACUGAUAUUCUUCAGGGACCUCAGGAAUGGAUUUGUCUCCUUUGCUUGCUGGCCUUUUGUACUCUAUGAAAAAGAUUUUCCAUUGUCCAUUUACGAAAACAGUUCUGUGUUUCCGUAGACAGCUGUACUGAGUCCAAAGGAGUGGCAACAGAUGCCUCAUCAUCCACUCCAAUUAAAGAAUUUUUAGAGGGAAGGAAAUCCUGCCAUGGUGCCUGAGUCACCAAGCUAACAUAAGAGACCAGAAUAUUUUUCCCAUUGCAUACUGAAUUAAUACAUCCUGAUAUAAUUAAAAUUUUAUCACUUUUUCUCUUA
Non-coding RNA from Cyanistes caeruleus (blue tit), 501 nucleotides. NCBI's taxonomy places the organism in Eukaryota, Metazoa, Chordata, Aves, Passeriformes, Paridae. The record is from RefSeq and is a predicted model, not a curated record.